Molecule: ribosomal RNA, 428 nt
Filed under: uncultured bacterium
Lineage: Bacteria
Description: partial 16S ribosomal RNA
Rfam family: Bacterial small subunit ribosomal RNA
Source: RNAcentral
GUGGGGAAUAUUGGGCAAUGGGGGAAACCCUGACCCAGCAACGCCGCGUGAAGGAAGAAGGCUUUCGGGUUGUAAACUUCUUUUACCAGGGAAAAACACAAUGAUGGUACCUGGAGAAAAAGCUACGGCUAACUACGUGCCAGCAGCCGCGGUAAUACGUAGGUGGCAAGCGUUGUCCGGAAUUACUGGGUGUAAAGGGCGUGUAGGCGGAACUACAAGUCAGGGGUGAAAACUAUGGGCUUAACCCAUAGCCUGCCUUUGAAACUGUAGUCCUUGAGUGCUGGAGAGGCAAUUGGAAUUCCUAGUGUAGCGGUGAAAUGCGUAGAUAUUAGGAGGAACACCAGUGGCGAAGGCGAAUUGCUGGACAGUAACUGACGCUGAGGCGCGAAAGCGUGGGGAGCAAACAGGAUUAGAAACCCGAGUAGUCC